CGUGUAGGCGGCUAAGCAAGUCAGGGGUGAAAGGCCUGGGCUCAACCUGGGAACUGCCUUUGAAACUGUUUGGCUUGAGACCGGAAGAGGAUGGCGGAAUUCCCAGUGUAGAGGUGAAAUUCGUAGAUAUUGGGAAGAACACCGGUGGCGAAGGCGGCCAUCUGGUCCGGAUCUGACGCUGAGGCGCGAAAGCGUGGGGAGCAAACA
This 207-nucleotide ribosomal RNA is filed under the name uncultured bacterium. Its description in RNAcentral is "partial 16S ribosomal RNA". It matches the Rfam family "Bacterial small subunit ribosomal RNA", at positions 568 to 774 of the family's 1533-position model. The record is from RNAcentral.